This is a long non-coding RNA of Balaenoptera acutorostrata (minke whale), 3562 nucleotides long. RefSeq lists it as uncharacterized. The transcript has 3 exons. Lineage: Eukaryota; Metazoa; Chordata; Mammalia; Artiodactyla; Balaenopteridae. The record is from RefSeq and is a predicted model, not a curated record.
CACAGUGCCUGGUUUCUUUGUUUUCUAAGUGGGAGUUGAAAACCUCGGGGUGUGUGAGUGGCUCUCAGGGUUUUGUCGGCAGAUACAGGCACACGUUUUCUGGGGAGCCGGGAGACAGGCAAGGACAGAGGCACCCGGAGGAAAGAGGUGGCGCUCUGACUGGCUGGCACGCGCGUGGGUGACUCGCCAAGUGCACCAGCGUGACGGGGUGGAGGAGUCAGAUCCCGGAGUCAAAGUUGAUGCCGUUCCCCAGCCCCGCGUCCUCCAGGCCCGACCACCGCACCCGCUGCUUCGCUGCCUUGGUACGGCCCCGCCGCUGGGGUGAGUGGAGAGCAGACGUCGGGACACCUCUGUCCCUUUGCUCGUGCAUUUCUCCAUAAAGGCCCUAAAAACUGCUUUAACAAAAAGUGAUUUAAAAUGAUGACUAUAAAGCAUAGGUAGGUCAGUCACCUUUUAUUUUUAAAGUAUGUGUUCUAGGAUUAAUAGGUAAAAUAAGUAUUCAUAGCAUUAGACAGUCUUAAAAACUAUAAUCUGUGCAUCUCUGGCACUUAGUGCAUGAUUAUUUCAGUUAAUUUCUUCGUGAUCACUCUAUUUCCUUCUUCAAGACAGAAACGUUUUCGUCUGACUUGACUUGCCAGGCAAUAACUUAGGCAAAAUCAUAAGAAUGCUGUAUACAUAUAUAUGAUCACAUAUACAUAUGAUCAAGAGUUUUGCAAAAAAAUAACAAAGGUCAGAAAAGCACAGCGCUCAGUGUCAGGAGGCCUAAGGCUGGGCCAAGUCCCAUGGAGUCAGGGUCAUCUGCUACCUAAUCACCCACGACGGGUCCUUGGCGAUGCUCGCAUUGUCUGGUCCGAGCAGAGCCACGCCGUGUGUGCUCCUCCCAGCGCCCAGGUACCUGCAGGUGGACGGGUGGGGGUCACUCAGGCACCAGCGAGGGGCGCAGGGUCUGGGCACUAAACCACCUGGCUCCUACUCACCUGUUGCUCACGUCGACCAGAUCUUCGUGGCGGACGGCGAAGAGCUGCUCGCGGUGCGCCUGCUUCACCUCAUCCGAGAGGCCAUACAGGAAGCAGUCCAGGCCUGAGUGAGCACAAGUGACAGGAUGGAGGGGCAUGUGGCCACCUUGGCCCUUUACAGCCUGUUUCCACCAAAGGUCACACUGCUGCCCGUCACGCGCCCACAGCGCGCUCUCCUCCCGACUCAGCUGAGACGCAUGGAGGCUGGGAGGGCGCGAGCCCGGGGAGCCGCGUGGGGGGUCCUGGCUGUUGACACCGUGGCUCGAGGUGCGUCACCUACGCCAGAUACCUUUGUCUGAAGGAGCCACCGGAGCAUCCACGGCGGCGAAGACAGAGAGCUUUGCCUCGUUGAUGUCCUGCUGCGUGAACCUCCCAGACUUGGCCCAGUCGAUAGCCUUCAGGAAGGACUGCAGCGUCUCCGUGGAAUGCGGGUCCCUGGAGACCCAAGGAGUCAGACUCGCAUGUUUGGCAGAAAAAGUAUAGGGGACACCCAGGCACGACUUCAGUUCUUCCACGCUUCGGGGUUGUUAAGGGCUGUUUUAACAGUCCAGACAACCCAGUACUCUGGAAAUUGACAUGUGGCCACACAAGCCACCGACACACUCUGCAGACCUCGCUUAUCACCCCCACUUCGCCACCUGAUCCCUGACUACACCGCUGUGACCCGGGAGAGCCGGGGGGACCAGCCCGAAGGAACAGAAGACGCUCGUAAGAUGCACCCAGAGGGCACAAUGAUCACCCCUCAGAGGCCAAUUUCCAGGGUCCUCCCCUGAACAGAAAGAGAGCUCCAAGGCCCCUCAUUCACACGUGCAUGUGGUCCUGAGGGUGUCUUGUGGGAAACGCCUCGUCUUUCAUGUCCCUCGAGACCCGUGGCUCCCACAUGACCACAUCACCACCGUGAAGCGGUCGGGGGCAGAGAGAAACCCUCCGUCCCUGAGGUGCCAGAGAGGCAGCAGGGCCACAGAACAGAGACGUAAAAGGGCAGAACAGCCUGGCCCUGAAGACCCAGCCCAGCCCCGGAGAGCUUCCAGAUCAUCUCCUUACAUCCUGGUUACCAAACCCCAGAGCUAUUUAAGGCCAGGGUUUUCUGUCCCCUCCCGCUGUCCCUAAGGCCUGCAGCCAAAAGGACCUUGCUGGGUGAGGCUACACGCCGGCCCAGGGACAACAGAGGAAGCGUUUUUCUGAAGUUCGCUCCGUGUGUGAGGACACUGGGGCCAGGCGGCCCGACUCACCUGUACGAGUAGAGCGUGAAGAUCCCGCCAUAGCUGAGUCUGGCGCCUCCACCAUAAGCACCGCCUUUUUCUCGAAUUUCCGUGUGCAAGAAUUUAGCUGUCAUCAAGCGUGCCAGGAUCUUGAGACUGAAAAGAUGAAAAAAACAAACACACGUUCCUACUCCUGAUGGCCUGGCAGAGUGUGUUUGAUUCCUGUAAACACGGAAACAAGCUGACGGAGAAGCCGAGGUGUGCUGACACUUCCCACACAUAGACACCCUGUCCCUUGAGCCCAGCAGCAGCGCCGUGCUCCAGAGCUGCUCCGCACCCACCAUCAAGCGUCCCCAGCGGUGCCCCUCCCCCUCGCACCUGGCGUGGGCCGGGGCCGCGUACGGGGCAGUCCUGAUGCACUCGGCUACGUAGUUCACCGGGAACGGGAACAGGAAGUGCGUCUUCAUCGGGCAGGGCUUGAAGGUGGGGUCCUGGGGGCAGAGGCCGUCACCACCGUGUGGCCCAGGGGCCAGCUGGGCAGGUGCCCCCGAGUACCCAGACCCCCGCACUGCGACGCCCUGGGCAGCACCGGCCACGUCGCCACACAUAACAGCCAGGCGCUGAUGACCUCGUCCCGCAUAACCUCACCUCAGAGCUGAGAUGAAGUAUCCUACCCCCAACCCAGACUCCCCUGGGACCAUAUCAUGGCACGCCAUUCCCAGGGCAGUGUGUGUGACCUUGCUUGGUCACUCCCCCCGGACAAGCCAGGCCAGCUGCCAGAGCCACCAGAGCUCAGGGGCAGCGGGGUGCACGGGAGGGGAGGUGACCCCCACGUGGCAGUGACGUUUAACCAGAGGUGGACUGAACACGAGGCGUCCACACAGACAGCACCUGCCGGUCCUACCCGACAGACACCCAGCUGGUGACGGAAGGGCCCACGGAUGCACAGCAGGCAGGGCAUUAAGCGGAAGGGACUCACCGUCACCAGCUUCCUCGUGACCAGGGAGUGCCUGCCAGGUCCCUUAGGUGCAGGUUUCUGAAAGUAAAAUGUUUCCCAGAGAAAUGAGAAAACGCCCAAGCUCAGGUGAGCAGGUAAGGUACGUUCCAGGAAGUGCACAGAGCUCACGACAAGCGUCAGGGUACAUCUUCUCGAGGCUUCAAGCUCUGAGGCUGCUGCAUCCCCAGCCCAAGUGGCCCUCCAAUCAGGAGACUUCACUGCAAGGCUCAAGUGGCUACAGGGAAGCACAGGAUCGAAGGCCAAACUACAGGGUUUAGAUUCACUGGGUUUCCUGGCCCGGCAGGCAGGCAGGGGGCACAACCUCACCUCCACCACGUGCGGGGGCG